This 201-nucleotide ribosomal RNA is filed under the name uncultured bacterium. RNAcentral describes it as "partial 16S ribosomal RNA". It matches the Rfam family "Bacterial small subunit ribosomal RNA", at positions 1300 to 1500 of the family's 1533-position model. The record is from RNAcentral.
GCAGUCUGCAACUCGACUGCAUGAAGCUGGAAUCGCUAGUAAUCGCGGAUCAGAAUGCCGCGGUGAAUACGUUCCCGGGUCUUGUACACACCGCCCGUCACACCAUGGGAGUCAGUAACGCCCGAAGUCAGUGACCGAACCGAGAGGACGGAGCUGCCGAAGGCGGGACGGAUAACUGGGGUGAAGUCGUAACAAGGUAAC